Molecule: ribosomal RNA, 465 nt
Filed under: uncultured bacterium
Lineage: Bacteria
Description: bacterial SSU rRNA
Rfam family: Bacterial small subunit ribosomal RNA
Source: RNAcentral
CCUACGGGCGGCAGCAGUGGGGAAUAUUGCACAAUGGGCGCAAGCCUGAUGCAGCCAUGCCGCGUGUAUGAAGAAGGCCUUCGGGUUGUAAAGUACUUUCAGCGGGGAGGAAGGCGAUAAGGUUAAUAACCUUGUCGAUUGACGUUACCCGCAGAAGAAUCACCGGCUAACUCCGUGCCAGCAGCCGCGGUAAUACGGAGGGUGCAAGCGUUAAUCGGAAUUACUGGGCGUAAAGCGCACGCAGGCGGUCUGUCGAGUCGGAUGUGAAAUCCCCGGGCUCAACCUGGGAACUGCAUUGGAAACUGGCAGGCUAGAGUCUUGUAGAGGGGGGUAGAAUUCCAGGUGUAGCGGUGAAAUGCGUAGAGAUCUGGAGGAAUACCGGUGGCGAAGGCAGCCCCCUGGACAAAGACUGACGCUCAGGUGCGAAAGCGUGGGGAGCAAACAGGAUUAGAUACCCUUGUAGUC